RNAcentral lists this ribosomal RNA (497 nucleotides) under uncultured bacterium. RNAcentral describes it as "partial 16S ribosomal RNA". It matches the Rfam family "Bacterial small subunit ribosomal RNA", at positions 28 to 507 of the family's 1533-position model. The record is from RNAcentral.
GAUGAACGCUGGCGGCGUGCCUAAUACAUGCAAGUCGAGCGAACAGAUGAGGAGCUUGCUCCUCUGACGGUAGCGGCGGACGGGUGAGUAACACGUGGAUAACCUACCUAUAAGACUGGGAUAACUUCGGGAACCCGGAGCUAAUACCGGAUAAUAUAUUGAACCGCAUGGUUCAAUAGUGAAAGACGGUUUUGCUGUCACUUAUAGAUGGAUCCGCGCCGCAUUAGCUAGUUGGUAAGGUAACGGCUUACCAAGGCAACGAUGCGUAGCCGACCUGAGAGGACGAUCGGCCACACUGGAACUGAGACACGGUCCAGACUCCUACGGGAGGCAGCAGUAGGGAAUCUUCCGCAAUGGGCGAAAGCCUGACGGAGCAACGCCGCGUGAGUGAUGAAGGUCUUCGGAUCGUAAAACUCUGUUAUCAGGGAAGAACAAAUGUGUAAGUAACUAUGCACGUCUUGACGGUACCUAAUCAGAAAGCCACGGCUAACUACGUG